UACGAAGGGGGCUAGCGUUGCUCGGAAUUACUGGGCGUAAAGGGCGCGUAGGCGGAUGGUACAGUCAGAUGUGAAAUUCCCGGGCUUAACCUGGGGGCUGCAUUUGACACGUGUUGUCUAGAGUGAGGAAGAGGGUCGUGGAAUUCCCAGUGUAGAGGUGAAAUUCGUAGAUAUUCGCAAGAACACCAGUGGCGAAGGCGGCUCACUGGCCCGAUACUGACGCUGAGGCACGAAAGCGUGGGGAGCAAACAGG
Molecule: ribosomal RNA, 253 nt
Filed under: uncultured bacterium
Lineage: Bacteria
Description: partial 16S ribosomal RNA
Rfam family: Bacterial small subunit ribosomal RNA
Source: RNAcentral